UACGUAGGCAGCAAGCGUUGUUCGGAGUUACUGGGCGUAAAGGGUGUGUAGGCGGUUCUUUAAGUUUGGUGUGGAAUCUCCCGGCUUAACCGGGAGGGUGCGCCGAAUACUGAGGGACUAGAGUACGGGAGAGGAAAGUGGAAUUCCUGGUGUAGCGGUGAAAUGCGUAGAUAUCAGGAGGAACACCGGUGGUGUAGACGGCUUUCUGGACCGUAACUGACGCUGAGACACGAAAGCGUGGGUAGCAAACAGG
RNAcentral lists this ribosomal RNA (253 nucleotides) under uncultured bacterium. Its description in RNAcentral is "partial 16S ribosomal RNA". It matches the Rfam family "Bacterial small subunit ribosomal RNA", at positions 524 to 776 of the family's 1533-position model. The record is from RNAcentral.